ACCGGCGGCUCGAGUGGUGGGCACUAAUAAGGGGCUUAAAGCGUUCGUAGCUGGCUUGUUAAGUCUCUGGGGAAAUCUUCCGGCUCAACCGGAAGGCGUCUCAGGGAUACUGGCAGGCUAGGGACCCGAAGAGGUGAGAAGUACUCCAGGGGUUGGAGGUAAAACCUGUAAACCUUGGGGGACCACCUGUGGCGAAGGCGUCCCACCAGGACCGCCCCCGCAUUUAGGAACGAAAACCUGGGGAGCAAACCG
This 252-nucleotide ribosomal RNA is filed under the name uncultured prokaryote. RNAcentral's name for it is "partial 16S rRNA". It matches the Rfam family "Archaeal small subunit ribosomal RNA", at positions 475 to 726 of the family's 1478-position model. The record is from RNAcentral.